CAGUGUUUACUUCUCGUCAUCACCAAGGUAUCUUCUCUGUUUCAUUGGGUCCACCCUUGCCUUAUUAUCUUGCUGAAAAGCUACUUGUUCAAUCCAAGAAUUAAUCUUUCAAGGGGAACAAUGGCCAUGGGAAGUUUUUUUGCAGCUGCGCCUGCCGUUGCUGCUGCUGUUGGAUUUUAUUUCAUAGACAGAAACUUUGUCAAGGAAAUCAAACAAGGGUCAUCUGUAUCCAAUCUAAAAAUGCUAGCAGAAGUGAAAGAACGAGCGAAGACCCUUCAAAAGCCAAAAUUGGCGCCACAGCUUGAUGGUUUACAUUGUUUCGAAACCUUGGUGAUGAAUUGAAUUUGCUGGGGCAGUAUGUACCUUGUGCUGAACGAAUAGUAGAUUAUACAUAUUUGUUAUUAUGUCAUAUUUCCUUCCUAUAACCUCGCAUUGUUGUUUUUCGUUUUACUUCAAAUCAUAUCAAUUUCUUUUUUAUCA
Long non-coding RNA from Glycine soja, 480 nucleotides. RefSeq lists it as uncharacterized. The record is from RefSeq and is a predicted model, not a curated record. The transcript has 2 exons. NCBI's taxonomy places the organism in Eukaryota, Viridiplantae, Streptophyta, Magnoliopsida, Fabales, Fabaceae.